UGGGCCAUCAAUGUGAAAUCCAGUACGACCAAUUUGAGUGUCAUUAUUGCACGUGUCUACAAUUUCAAUGAAAAGGGAGAUCUGAAAUCUUCAGAUUAUCCCUACCAGCCAACGGUGACAUCAUUAUAGAUGGGAAGAGACUGAGAGAUUGAACACAAAAAAUUGCUCAUCUGCGUAUGGACUCUGGUAUUCGCUAAGCUAAUGAUUCAUUUGGGUGCCACACCACACACACACACUCACAAAUGUGUGAAUAUAUCAUAUGUAUUCGGUAGACAGUAUGCAGUACAUUUCUAGGAAGUAAUUGCCUUAAGACUUUUUUUUAAUAAACUAAAAAUUCUGUAAAAUUUAGUAAACUAAACCCCAAAUGUCCUGUUUUGACGGGGAAUAAUCCUACAUGUUGCUUAGGUUUAAGUCUACCCAGAUAAAAUAAAAUAAAAUGGCGUACGACUAUAUAAACGUGCGUUUUAGCAUUAUUAAUAAGCGGAAAUCAACGUUUGUACAUAAUACGAUGUUACUUACAUAUAUAAGUAAUGCCAGUUAGUAAUACCAUUGUAUAGUGUUUUUGUAUUGCUUUAGCAGUAACAUGGACGGAAU
Molecule: long non-coding RNA, 594 nt
Organism: Drosophila obscura
Lineage: Eukaryota; Metazoa; Arthropoda; Insecta; Diptera; Drosophilidae
Exons: 3
Source: RefSeq, a predicted model, not a curated record